Siniperca chuatsi (mandarin fish) is the source of this 2171-nucleotide long non-coding RNA. RefSeq lists it as uncharacterized. The transcript is spliced from 2 exons. Lineage: Eukaryota; Metazoa; Chordata; Actinopteri; Centrarchiformes; Sinipercidae. The record is from RefSeq and is a predicted model, not a curated record.
ACAGAACACGGAAUUACUUACAAAACCUGGAAACCUGGAAACCUUGAAAACACCUUGAAAGAUGCAUUAGCACCUGCUUUUCAUGCAGACAACGUCUGAAUGGAGGAGUGAGCGAGCCAGAUGAACUGCCUUGUAGGAACUGGCUCUGCCUGCAGCUCCAGUCGGUCUGUCACACACACACACACACACACACACACUUGCUGUGUCUCUAUCUGGUUUAUUACACAGAUUUACACAUCUGAAAAAAGCCUCCAGUUCACCAAAAAGAGUCAUUUGCUUUUUUUCCAGUCAGAGUCAAUUCAAAUGUCAGAGGGGUGUUCAAAACAAAUGGUUAAUAUUUUACCACUACCAGGAAGUGAUUCUCAAAAGUAUUUAUUUCCUCUUUGUUCUCACAGAAAACAAGCUGCUGAGGAACAGAAGUUGUUCAAGGAAAAAUAUUGUAACAUCACAGGUGGUUGUGGCAGAAGACCAGCAGCUGAGUCUUGUCUUUUAUUCCCCACAACAAAGUGGCACAAGGCACAGUUAACACACACACACACACACACACACACACACACAGAGAGAGUGGCAGGCUCCAUCUCUCAACAUCACAAUUUGGCAGGAAUCUGUUGUUAUAAUAAAUGUGUUUGCGUGUCUCACAAGUUAUCACCCCCAGCUGCAACAGGUAAAUAGGAGUUACUUUACAUCACGAAAGUCUGUUACCCAAAUGUAAUCAGCUGUACUCAAAACAUGUGGUGAAGAAAUAAACUGCUACUUAAUCACAAUUUCAGCUAACUGAAGAAGAAUAAAGUAUAACUGAAACCCAUGGCUGUUUGAAAGCUACUAAAUGAUAAAGGUUUGUGGUAAAAUCAAUAAUAAUGGACAGAAAUUGCACCAGAUGUACAAGAUACACACGGCCAUAUAGCCAGGAUUUUACUGAGCUCGCAAGUCCAAUCAGCCUUCACCCUCAAAUCAUUUGGGAGAGAUCUGAAAAUUCUGUAUUGCCUUCUAUUAAUUAGGAUAUUUUCCCAUGUUUAAUUAAAAAAUGUUAUUAUAUUGAUUUAUUUUUAAAAGUUGUUUGAUUUAAAAACAGUUAUAUGUCCCACAGUUUCUCUACAUGUUGGUCUAAAAGCUGUUUUCUAAGAGUAUUCUCCACUCUGCCAGGAUUAAAUUCUGGUGGAAAAAAAAAUGUUAAAUUGUUUUAUUUUUUCUUUACUUUUCUUGGACUAAUUUUAGGACACAGAGAGUCUGAAAAAUACUGGUAUUUGCCUUUUAACCCUUGAAUUUUGUUGACAUUGGCUUUACUUCCUCAUUGUUUGGGAUCCCACAGACCCCACUGCAACACGUAACUUUUAAUAGUCAUUUUAACAAUAAUAAUUUUUUCCCUUUAAAUAUAAAUAUAUAUAUAUAUGUUUUGGGAGAGGUAGUGCUGUGUAAAAAAGUAAUGUUAACAUCAAUCACUAUAUAGACAGCAGAUGAAAAUCCACUGUAUUUAUCCAUGUUUUUCAGCUUGGGUCUCUGAGACUGCAAACAGAGGAAGCAUCAAGGUUAUAAAACAAUGCUAAGUGAGUUUUUGAGAUAUUAAAGAUCUGUUUGAUUAAACAGAUAAUGUUGCUAAAGGCUGUCCUCUUCUGGUAGAAGCUUGUCACAGCAAGAUCUUCUCUACAUUUUCAGUCAUUCAUCACUCAUAAACAUGACUAUAAAAUACAAUGUGUGAAUAUGUAAAUACGAAAUCCAUAAGUAACGCUCACUCACAGUUGAUGAGAACAGGUCAUACAGAAAAUGGGUUUAUUUCUGAUACAGCAGGAUUUUGUUCGUUGUCUUACAUCACAUACAAAUGUCUCCUUGCAUUUAGCAUUGAAACAUGGUCUUCACCGUUUUGAAAUCUACUUGUGUAACUAUAACGGUACAGAAUGAAUCAUCAGAAGUUUAUAUUUUGUUUUGUUUGCACGGAUUAUCAUUGUUUCACAGACACAGUCUACAUCAAAGUUUCUUUACACCCCAAAGAAAACCAAAGAAAUCUACCACCAAAUAUGAAUCAAGUAUACUGGCCAAACAAAAGGACAAAACCUUUGUCUGAACAUCCUGAACUGUGGUGCAAAACCUGCCUUUUUGAGGGCAUAGAGAAAUAAAUCUGUAAAUCAUUCUUUAUAGAUAAAUAUAUGUAACUCAAAAUCAGAACCAAACGAGCU